Molecule: microRNA precursor, 101 nt
Filed under: Podarcis lilfordi (Lilford's wall lizard)
Lineage: Eukaryota; Metazoa; Chordata; Lepidosauria; Squamata; Lacertidae
Source: RNAcentral
ACCUUAGAGACCAACUAAGUUUGUUAUUGGUAUGAGCUUUCGUGAAGUGUGCAUGCACACGAAAGCUCAUACCAAUAACAAACAUAUUUGGUCUCUAAGGU